RNAcentral lists this ribosomal RNA (601 nucleotides) under Bacillus cereus. RNAcentral describes it as "bacterial SSU rRNA". It matches the Rfam family "Bacterial small subunit ribosomal RNA", at positions 104 to 690 of the family's 1533-position model. Lineage: Bacteria; Bacillati; Bacillota; Bacilli; Caryophanales; Bacillaceae. The record is from RNAcentral.
GGGUGAGUAACACGUGGGUAACCUGCCCAUAAGACUGGGAUAACUCCGGGAAACCGGGGCUAAUACCGGAUAACAUUUUGAACCGCAUGGUUCGAAAUUGAAAGGCGGCUUCGGCUGUCACUUAUGGAUGGACCCGCGUCGCAUUAGCUAGUUGGUGAGGUAACGGCUCACCAAGGCAACGAUGCGUAGCCGACCUGAGAGGGUGAUCGGCCACACUGGGACUGAGACACGGCCCAGACUCCUACGGGAGGCAGCAGUAGGGAAUCUUCCGCAAUGGACGAAAGUCUGACGGAGCAACGCCGCGUGAGUGAUGAAGGCUUUCGGGUCGUAAAACUCUGUUGUUAGGGAAGAACAAGUGCUAGUUGAAUAAGCUGGCACCUUGACGGUACCUAACCAGAAAGCCACGGCUAACUACGUGCCAGCAGCCGCGGUAAUACGUAGGUGGCAAGCGUUAUCCGGAAUUAUUGGGCGUAAAGCGCGCGCAGGUGGUUUCUUAAGUCUGAUGUGAAAGCCCACGGCUCAACCGUGGAGGGUCAUUGGAAGCUGGGAGACUUGAGUGCAGAACAGGAAAGUGGAAUUCCAUGUGUAGCGGUGAAAUGCG